AUUUUGAUAUUCGCUCUUGUUGUUAUUCGGACUGAUAUUUUGAAGUGAGCGCGCGCCCCUCGUCAGUUUGCAUUGCAUAUGCUGGAGAGAGGAAGGCUUUUGUGAGAGCUCUUCAAUUAAAGAGAUUAUUAAGAUUAUUAAGUGUAGAAAUCCACUUGAUUCCACUUUGUAAACACUUCUGAGACUAUGAGAUGUUCUGGUGUAUGUUUUAUGUAAGAGGAGUGUUGAAUGGUGGUGAGACUGUUAAUAAACCUCUCUGGUGAACUGAAGUGAAAGUGUCCUGAGUUUCCUUCAACACAAAGCAGAUGAGAGAAGCAGCGGUUAUCAGCAGACCGGCAUCAUCAGCACGAGCAGAAGUACAGAUACUCAUCCUGGGAAGGGCAGACGAGCUGAGCUCCAAGGAAUCUAUUCUGAAGCCGCCCAUCCAGGAUCUUGCAGUCUGUCAUUCCUGCAGUCCAAAUACUCCAAUGAGUUCUAAUAUUUUACAAUGAGUUUUAAUUCUACAUAGAAAAAAGCAUGGCACCAUUUUUUAUGUUCUCUUUAGAAAUGUUAGAUGUUCGUAUGAGUGUCUUGUUUGAGUCGUCCUUCAUUUAGCAACUGGAAUGUUUUACUUGUGUAUGUGAGAUCAUUAAACUUUGUCUUUUAUAUUGA
Molecule: long non-coding RNA, 651 nt
Organism: Silurus meridionalis
Lineage: Eukaryota; Metazoa; Chordata; Actinopteri; Siluriformes; Siluridae
Exons: 3
Source: RefSeq, a predicted model, not a curated record